Molecule: ribosomal RNA, 163 nt
Filed under: Salsola junatovii
Lineage: Eukaryota; Viridiplantae; Streptophyta; Magnoliopsida; Caryophyllales; Amaranthaceae
Description: 5.8S ribosomal RNA
Rfam family: 5.8S ribosomal RNA
About the family: 5.8S ribosomal RNA (5.8S rRNA) is a component of the large subunit of the eukaryotic ribosome. It is transcribed by RNA polymerase I as part of the 45S precursor that also contains 18S and 28S rRNA.
Source: RNAcentral
AACGACUCUCGGCAACGGAUAUCUGGGCUCUCGCAUCGAUGAAGAACGUAGCGAAAUGCGAUACUUGGUGUGAAUUGCAGAAUCCCGUGAACCAUCGAGUCUUUGAACGCAAGUUGCGCCCGAAGCCUUCUGGCCGAGGGCACGUCUGCCUGGGCGUCACGCA